GAACUUGCUCAAACUAUCCCCCUUUUUCAGAAUUUUACAUUUAUAUUAGUCUACAAGUCCUCAGCUGAAUUUGGUAAAUGAAUGCUAAAUAUUUUCGUAUGAUUUUCAUUUCCCAUACAUGGAUAAUGUUAGGCUACUCGUAAUACACUUAUUAAUUAUAGUUUAUACAUGAGUCUCUGGGAGGACCAAUGGUAUCAGACCCUAAAAACAUUUAAAUACAUAUCAAUAAUUACAUUA
This 237-nucleotide long non-coding RNA is filed under the name Mytilus galloprovincialis (Mediterranean mussel). The record is from RNAcentral. Lineage: Eukaryota; Metazoa; Mollusca; Bivalvia; Mytilida; Mytilidae.